UCGUGUAAGCUAUGUUCCCUGGUAGCAAGUCACAAGUGCUGUGUUAUUACCCUUUUUGCUGUUGAAUGAGUUGGCGAGUGUUUUACCCGAAGGGGAGCGGGUAACUGCGAAGGAUAUUAUCUAGUUGAGAGCAUCGUGAAUUGCUGUUACAUCGUGUGGGCCAAGGCAAACGUUCAAGAAGAAGCAGUUGUCGAUGGUUGAAACGUCUGAGCUGGACAGUAAAUGUUUGAUGGUCUCCCCUCUGAAGUCUCGCGGCCUGAGUGAUGUCCAAAACAAUUCAGUUAGGUGAAGUUUUUAUUUGAGAAGGAAUCCGAUGGACACUAGCGGAACUCUGGCAGGGAACAACACUUGCGGAACGCACUAUAUUGUGAUGCUUAGCGGAUGGCGGAUGGAAAAUGGGUAACGAAAUUUACUUCUGACGAGAGGUUGGAAGGUCUGGCUGCGACUAGGUAGUGGGGAUGUAACCCAGUCUUUUUUUUUUAAAUCUCCUGCAGGCAAAUUGAAAGAGUUUAAGGGCAUUUGAAGAAAUACUAAAAACUUUGACAGAAUUUAACUUACCUUCCCUGGAUGUAAAUUUUUCAGUUGUACGAGAUUUUAAAUUUGUGUACCUCUUGAAGGUGAUUCUGAUAUCUUAACGUAAUUCCGAUGUACAAUAAAUUUCCAGGUAGUCUUUUUCCUGUAAAACUUUUAUGUAGCUUUGUGGAUGUGUAACUAGACAGACACUAAGAUUAAUCAGGAAUGAUACCCAAAUAAAAAGUA
Molecule: long non-coding RNA, 759 nt
Organism: Macrobrachium nipponense
Lineage: Eukaryota; Metazoa; Arthropoda; Malacostraca; Decapoda; Palaemonidae
Exons: 3
Source: RefSeq, a predicted model, not a curated record